Molecule: ribosomal RNA, 460 nt
Filed under: uncultured bacterium
Lineage: Bacteria
Description: partial 16S ribosomal RNA
Rfam family: Bacterial small subunit ribosomal RNA
Source: RNAcentral
CCUACGGGAGGCAGCAGUGAGGAAUAUUGCUCAAUGGGCGCGAGCCUGAUGCAGCCACGUAGCGUGAAGGAUGACUGCCCUAUGGGUUGUAAACUUCUUUUACAUGGGAAUAAAGUGUUAUACGUAUGCGAUUUUGCAUGUACCUUAUGAAUAAGGAUCGGCUAACUCCGUUCCAGCAGCCCCGGUAAUACGGAGGAUCCGAGCGUUAUCCGGAUUUAUUGGGUUUAAAGGGAGCGUAGGCGGUUUGUUAAGUUAGUUGUGAAAGUUUGGGGCUCAACCGUGAAAUUGCAUUUGAUACUGGCAGUCUUGAGUACAGUAGAGGUGGGCGGAAUUCGUGGUGUAGCGGUGAAAUGCGUAGAUAUCAGGAAGAACUCCGAUUGCGAAGGCAGCUCACUGGACUGUAACUGACGCUGAGGCUCGAAAGUGUGGGUAUCAAACAGGAUUAGAUACCCGAGUAGUC